This 253-nucleotide ribosomal RNA is filed under the name uncultured bacterium. RNAcentral's name for it is "partial 16S ribosomal RNA". It matches the Rfam family "Bacterial small subunit ribosomal RNA", at positions 524 to 776 of the family's 1533-position model. The record is from RNAcentral.
UACGUAGGGGGCAAGCGUUGUCCGGAUUUAUUGGGCGUAAAGAGCGUGUAGGCGGCUAGGUAGGUCCGUUGUGAAAACUCGAGGCUCAACCUCGAGACGUCGAUGGAAACCAUCUAGCUAGAGUCCGGAAGAGGAGAGUGGAAUUCCUGGUGUAGCGGUGAAGUGCGCAGAUAUCGGGAGGAACACCAAUAGCGAAGGCAGCUCGCUGGGACGUGACUGACGCUGAGACGCGAAGGCGUGGGGAGCAAACAGG